RNA transcript from Sorex fumeus (smoky shrew), 2450 nucleotides. It is a transcript of the gene named nibrin, with no coding region annotated. The transcript has 17 exons. The record is from RefSeq and is a predicted model, not a curated record. NCBI's taxonomy places the organism in Eukaryota, Metazoa, Chordata, Mammalia, Eulipotyphla, Soricidae.
GCCGCCCGGGCUGCGGUUACCGGGCCGUCUGCGUCCCGGCCCGACCGGGCUCCGGACCCAUGUGGAAGCUCGUCCCCGGCGCGGGCCCGGCCCGAGAGCCAUACAGACUUUUGACGGGAGUUGAAUACAUAGUUGGAAGGAAAAACUGUAACAUCCUCAUUGAAGAUGAUAAGUCAAUCAGCCGAGAUCAUGCCAUGUUAGCUGCUAAUUUUCCUGUAACCAACCUGAGUCAAGCAGUAGAAAUCCCUGAACUGACAAUAAAAGACAAUUCUAAGUAUGGCACCUUUGUCAAUGAGAAAAAAAUGCAGAAUGGCCUUUCUCUAGUGUUGAAAACGGGAGACCGAGUUACUUUUGGAGUGUUUGAAAGUAAAUUCAGGGUGGAGUAUGAGCCCCUGGUCACAUGCUCUUCUUGUUUAGAUGCGUCUGGAAAAGCCGCUUUAAAUCAGGCAGUCUUGCAGCUGGGGGGACUUACUGUAAAUAAUUGGACAGAAGAAUGUACUCAUCUCGUCAUGACGACAGUGAAAGUGACCAUUAAAACAAUCUGUGCGCUCAUUUGUGGCCGUACAAUAGUGAAGCCGGAGUAUUUCACUGAGUUUGUUAAAGCAGUUCAGUCUGGGAAACAGCCGCCACAAGCCGGAAGUUUUUGUCCUUCUAUCGAUGAACCAACUAUUGGAAGCAAGAAGAUUGAUCUGUCAGGGCGGCAGGAAAGAAAACACAUCUUCAGAGGAAAAACAUUUGUAUUUCUAAGUGCUAAACAGCAUAAAAAGUUGAGUUCAGCGGUAGUUUUCGGAGGAGGAAAGGCGAGGCUGUUGACAGAAGAAAAUAAAGAAGAUGAUCGUUUUUUUUCUGCUCCUGGAACUUGUGUUGUUGACGUGGGAAUAACAAACGCAUCUACGUUGAUUCCUGACUCACAGAAAACGUGGAUUCUUUCCAUUGUGGAUAUUCUCCAAAGGCAAGGUCUUCGACCCAUUCCUGAAGCAGAAAUUGGAUUGGCGGUUAUUUUUAUGACAACAGAUAAUUACUGUGAUCCUAAGGGACAGCCCAGUCCAGGAUGGAAGAUGGCUUCAGCACCAAGCCUUUCCCAGAGCUCAUCACUGAAUGACAGUUUGAUGCCAGUAACGCAGGUGAUUGCUACAGCAGGUGCAACAGACUCCGAAUCGGAGCAGGCAGACACCUGUAUGGAUUUGAGUGAAAGGCCAAAAGAUGUCAAAGUCCCCAGAAUGGAGCAGAAUUUCGGAAAGUCUUCACAAGAAGUAUCUAUUUUAAAGGAACCCUCCCAAAUAAGCCCUCACAAUAAUACAGCCAAAACUCAGGAUCAGAUGAAGGCCCCAAGCUACCAGCUUUCACCAACUACAUUUUGGGGUGUGAAUAAAAGUAGAGAUCGGACUUCACAGCAGCAGACGAACACCAUCAAAAACUACUUUCAGCCUUCUGCCAGAAAAAGGGACAGGGAUGACGAAAAUGAAGAAGUGUCUUCAUCUAAAUCUGCAAGAACCGAAAUGUCUUGUUCUCUUUCAGAACAAACAAUGCCCAUUUCAUCCUCACUCUGGAAAAAUAAGGAGCAAAAUCUAUCCCAGAAUGAGCCUGUGGACAAAAAUUCAGAUAGUCUAUUUACAGAUUUAAAAUCCACUGUGAAAAAUUCUGCUAGUAAAUCUCUUUCUAUAGAAGAGCUACAGCCGGGAAAAAGAAAAGAAAUGGAUGAUAUUGGCAUAGAAGAUGAAGUAUUGGAACAGCUGCUCAAGGACAUGAAAUCAGAAUUAGAUGUCAAAGUGAAAGUUCAAAAAGAAGACAGCAUUAAAAAUAAGAGUAAACGGCCAAAAUUGGAUAUUGAAACAAAUGGCAUUUUUAAUGAUGAAGUGGAGCUAGAAAAUAAAAUCUCUCAAGAAAAUGAAAUUGGGAAGAAAUGUGAUGUCAAGAAAGAACCACUAUGGUCAACGAAAGAAGAACUACCUAAUAAUGACAAACUUCAGGAGGAUGAAGAGAUGCUGCCAAGGAACCUGUUACUGACGGAAUUCAGAUCACUGGUGGUUAGUAAUUCUGACUCCAGAAAGGCAUCUAGUGUAAAUCAUGAUUAUGGUCAAUUAAAGAAUUUCAAGAAAUUCAAGAAGGUAACAUUUCCUGGAGCUGGGAAGCUUCCACACAUCAUAGGAGGGUCCGAUCUCAUAGCUCAUCACGCGCGGAAGAACGCGGAGCUAGAAGAGUGGCUGCGGCAGGAGAUGGAGAUGCAGCAUCAACAUGCAAAGGAAGAGUCUCUCGCGGAUGAUCUCUUUAGAUAUAAUCCUAAUGCGAAAAGGAGAAGAUAACCGAAGAUGUUAGAAUCACGAAAAGUCUCCUAUCAUGAUUUUACUUCAGAUUUCUUCUGAGCUAAACAGCGUGUAAUGCCCAGUGCCCCGCCCUUUAAAAAUCGAACAAAAUUGUCUCCGACCAAAGGACCCAGUGCAAAGAGGCUG